CGCUCUGGUGGCCUAGUGGUUAGAGUGUCCACCUCUGAUGCGGGAGGUCGUGGGUUCAAUCCACAGUUGAGUCA
Molecule: non-coding RNA, 74 nt
Organism: Potamilus streckersoni
Lineage: Eukaryota; Metazoa; Mollusca; Bivalvia; Unionida; Unionidae
Source: the annotation of a GenBank genome assembly